This 253-nucleotide ribosomal RNA is filed under the name uncultured bacterium. RNAcentral describes it as "partial 16S ribosomal RNA". It matches the Rfam family "Bacterial small subunit ribosomal RNA", at positions 524 to 776 of the family's 1533-position model. The record is from RNAcentral.
GACGAACCGAGCGAACGUUGUUCGGAAUCACUGGGCUUAAAGGGCGCGUAGGCGGGCCGACGCGUCCGGGGUGAAAUCCUCCCGCUCAACGGGAGAACGGCCUCGGAUACGGGCGGCCUGGAGGGGGGUAGGGGCGUGCGGAACUGUGGGUGGAGCGGUGAAAUGCGUUGAUAUCCACAGGAACUCCGGUGGCGAAGGCGGCACGCUGGACCCCACCUGACGCUGAGGCGCGAAAGCCAGGGGAGCAAACGGG